GAUGAACGCUGACAGAAUGCUUAACACAUGCAAGUCAACUUGAAUUUGGGUUUUUAACUUAGGUUUGGGUGGCGGACGGGUGAGUAACGCGUAAAGAACUUGCCUCACAGCUAGGGACAACAUUUGGAAACGAAUGCUAAUACCUAAUAUUAUGAUAAUAGGUCAUCCUAUAAUUAUGAAAGCUAUAAGCGCUGUGAGAGAGCUUUGCGUCCCAUUAGCUAGUUGGAGAGGUAACGGCUCACCAAGGCGAUGAUGGGUAGCCGGCCUGAGAGGGUGAUCGGCCACAAGGGAACUGAGACACGGCCCUUACUCCUACGGGAGGCAGCAGUGGGGAAUAUUGGACAAUGGACCGAGAGUCUGAUCCAGCAAUUCUGUGUGCACGAUGAAGUUUUUCGGAAUGUAAAGUGCUUUCAGUUGGGAAGAAACAAAUGACGGUACCAACAGAAGAAGUGACGGCUAAAUACGUG
This 467-nucleotide ribosomal RNA is filed under the name uncultured bacterium. Its description in RNAcentral is "partial 16S ribosomal RNA". It matches the Rfam family "Bacterial small subunit ribosomal RNA", at positions 28 to 507 of the family's 1533-position model. The record is from RNAcentral.